CAAUAGCGUAUAUUAAAGUUGUUGCAGUUAAAAAGCUCGUAGUUGGAUUUCUGACAAGAGCGACCGGUCCGGACUUUCGGGUCCGAGCACUCGUGUUGUCUCUAGUCAUCCUUAUGGAGAGCGUUUCUGGCAUUAAGUUGUCGGGGUUAGGGAACACAUCGUUUACUGUGAAAAAAUUAGAGUGUUUAAAGCAGGCUUAUGCCGUUGAAUACAUUAGCAUGGAAUAAUAAGAUAGGACUUUGGCGUCUAUUUUGUUGGUUUGCACACCAAGGUAAUGAUUAAUAGGGAUAGUUGGGGGUAUUCGUAUUUAAUUGUCAGAGGUGAAAUUCUUGGAUUUAUGAAAGACGAACUUCUGCGAAAGCAUUUACCAAAGAUGUUUUCAUUAA
This 386-nucleotide ribosomal RNA is filed under the name uncultured eukaryote. Its description in RNAcentral is "partial 18S ribosomal RNA". It matches the Rfam family "Eukaryotic small subunit ribosomal RNA", at positions 592 to 976 of the family's 1831-position model. The record is from RNAcentral.